Molecule: ribosomal RNA, 253 nt
Filed under: uncultured bacterium
Lineage: Bacteria
Description: partial 16S ribosomal RNA
Rfam family: Bacterial small subunit ribosomal RNA
Source: RNAcentral
UACGUAGGUGGCAAGCGUUAUCCGGAUUUAUUGGGCGUAAAGGGAACGCAGGCGGUCUUUUAAGUCUGAUGUGAAAGCCUUCGGCUUAACCGGAGUAGUGCAUUGGAAACUGGGAGACUUGAGUGCAGAAGAGGAGAGUGGAACUCCAUGUGUAGCGGUGAAAUGCGUAGAUAUAUGGAAGAACACCAGUGGCGAAAGCGGCUCUCUGGUCUGUAACUGACGCUGAGGCUCGAAAGCGUGGGUAGCAAACAGG